RNAcentral lists this ribosomal RNA (478 nucleotides) under uncultured bacterium. RNAcentral describes it as "partial 16S ribosomal RNA". It matches the Rfam family "Bacterial small subunit ribosomal RNA", at positions 28 to 507 of the family's 1533-position model. The record is from RNAcentral.
GAUGAACGCUGGCGGCGUGCCUAACACAUGCAAGUCGAACGGAGUCCAGCCUUUAAGACCUUCGGGUCAAAGAGGGGAAGACUGAGUGGCGGACGGGUGAGUAACACGUGGGCAACCUGGCUCAUAGAGGGGGAUAACAGAGAGAAAUUUCUGCUAAUACCGCAUAAGCACACACUGCCGCAUGGCAGAGGGUGAAAAGAGAAUCGCUAUGAGAUGGACCCGCGUCUGAUUAGCCAGUUGGCAGGGUAAGAGCCUACCAAAGCGACGAUCAGUAGCCGAUCUGAGAGGAUGAACGGCCACAUUGGGACUGAGACACGGCCCAAACUCCUACGGGAGGCAGCAGUGGGGGAUAUUGCACAAUGGGGGGAACCCUGAUGCAGCGACGCCGCGUGAGUGAAGAAGUAUUUCGGUAUGUAAAGCUCUAUCAGCAGGGAAGAUAAUGACAGUACCUGAAUAAGAUGCCCCGGCUAACUACGUG